Long non-coding RNA from Oryza brachyantha (malo sina), 522 nucleotides. RefSeq lists it as uncharacterized. NCBI's taxonomy places the organism in Eukaryota, Viridiplantae, Streptophyta, Magnoliopsida, Poales, Poaceae. The transcript is spliced from 3 exons. The record is from RefSeq and is a predicted model, not a curated record.
CCCAUCCACCGCCGCCGGCCUCCACCGCGUGCGAGCUGGGGGGAGGAGGCAGCGGCGUCGUCGGGCUGAGGGGACGAGGCAGCAGCAGCGGUGUCGUGCUAAGAGGAGGAGGCGGCAACAUCGUCGGGCUGAGGGGAGGAGGCGGCAGCAGCGGCGUCGGGCUAGGGAAGGGAUCGAAGGCGACGGAAUAUGUGAAUGACAUUGGGAGGUGAUCCUUGUCCAAGCCCAAGCCCGAAGAGAAGGAGAAAGGGCAACGGUGAAGAAGGCGACAAUGACUACAUUCCUCUAAAGAAGGGCCGAAGAAAAAGAUCCGUCCAAAGACGACGGGGUCCUAGCUGACACAACCGGCUCCAAGAAAAGUGAAUAGUCAGCAAAGGCGAAGAAAAGAAAGGGCGAGAGAAGCGUGAAUAAAAAGGAUGAAGGGUUCCAUGUUGUUACACAUGUAUUUGAAGUAACAAUGUAAAUGUUGUAAUAUAUAUAUAUAUUUUGGCAACACUUUUGAGUUAUGCAAUAUAUGUAAAU